Molecule: ribosomal RNA, 442 nt
Filed under: uncultured bacterium
Lineage: Bacteria
Description: partial 16S ribosomal RNA
Rfam family: Bacterial small subunit ribosomal RNA
Source: RNAcentral
CCUACGGGAGGCAGCAGUGGGGAAUAUUGGGCAAUGGAGGCAACUCUGACCCAGCAACGCCGCGUGAAGGAAGAAGGCCUUAGGGUUGUAAACUAAUGUUGUAAAGGAAGAAAAGAAUGACGGUACUUUACAAGACAGCUCCGGAUAACUAUGUGCCAGCAGCCGCGGUAAUACGGAGGAUGCGAGCGUUAUCCGGAUUUAUUGGUGUUAAAGUGUGCGUAGGCGGACUGUUAAGUCAGCGGUAAAAGCCCGGGGUACAACCCCGGCGAGCCGUUGAUACUGGCUGUCUUGAGAUGUCGAGAGGUAGGCGGAAUGCGCAGUGUAGCGGUGAAAUGCGUAGAUAUUGCGAAGAACUCCGAUGGCGAAGGCAGCAUACCGGCGGCGAUCUGACGCUGAGGCACGAAAGCGUGGGUAUCGAACAGGAUUAGAUACCCUUGUAGUC